GUAGGGAAUAUUGGUCAAUGGACGAAAGUCUGAACCAGCCAUGCCGCGUGAAGGAUGAAGGCCCUCUGGGUUGUAAACUUCUUUUAUCUGGGACGAAAAAAGGGUAUUCUUACUCACUUGACGGUACCAGAGGAAUAAGCACCGGCUAACUCCGUGCCAGCAGCCGCGGUAAUACGGAGGGUGCAAGCGUUAUCCGGAUUCACUGGGUUUAAAGGGUGCGUAGGUGGGUAUUUAAGUCAGUGGUGAAAUCUCCGAGCUUAACUCGGAAACUGACAUUGAUACUAUUUACCUUGAAUGCCCUGGAGGUAAGCGGAAUAUGUCAUGUAGCGGUGAAAUGCUUAGAUAUGACAUAGAACACCAAUUGCGAAGGCAGCUUACUACGGGGUGAUUGACACUGAGGCACGAAAGCGUGGGGAGCAAACAGGAUUAGAUACCCCUGUAGUCC
This 445-nucleotide ribosomal RNA is filed under the name uncultured bacterium. Its description in RNAcentral is "partial 16S ribosomal RNA". It matches the Rfam family "Bacterial small subunit ribosomal RNA", at positions 354 to 796 of the family's 1533-position model. The record is from RNAcentral.